Molecule: ribosomal RNA, 468 nt
Filed under: uncultured bacterium
Lineage: Bacteria
Description: partial 16S ribosomal RNA
Rfam family: Bacterial small subunit ribosomal RNA
Source: RNAcentral
GACGAACGCUGGCGGCGUGCUUAACACAUGCAAGUCGAACGGAAAGGCCCUGCUUUUGUGGGGUGCUCGAGUGGCGAACGGGUGAGUAACACGUGAGUAACCUGCCCUUGACUUUGGGAUAACUUCAGGAAACUGGGGCUAAUACCGGAUAGGAGCUCCUGCUGCAUGGUGGGGGUUGGAAAGUUUCGGCGGUUGGGGAUGGACUCGCGGCUUAUCAGCUUGUUGGUGGGGUAGUGGCUUACCAAGGCUUUGACGGGUAGCCGGCCUGAGAGGGUGACCGGCCACGGUGGGACUGAGAUAGGGGGCAGACGGCGGGAGGAGGGGGAAGUGGGGGGAAGGGCGAACGGGGGGGGAGGCGGAAGCGGCGGAGGCGCGUGGGGGGUGACGGCCUUCGGGAAGGGAAGCAGGACCGCCUGGGAUGUAGGUGGGGUGACGGUAGCUGGUAAAGAAGCGCCGGCUAACUACGUG